Non-coding RNA from Trichodelitschia bisporula, 87 nucleotides. NCBI's taxonomy places the organism in Eukaryota, Fungi, Ascomycota, Dothideomycetes, Phaeotrichales, Phaeotrichaceae. The record is from the annotation of a GenBank genome assembly.
GCCUGGGUAGCUCAAUCGGUAGAGCGUGUGACUCUUAUUCGCCUCGAAUAAAUCUCAAGGUCGCGGGUUCGAGCCCCGCCUCGGGCU